UACAGAGGUGGCAAGCGUUGUUCGGAAUUACUGGGCGUAAAGGGCGCGUAGGCGGCCUUCUAAGUCAGACGUGAAAUCCCCCGGCUUAACCUGGGAACUGCGUCUGAUACUGGGAGGCUUGAAUCCGGGAGAGGGAUGCAGAAUUCCAGGUGUAGCGGUGAAAUGCGUAGAUAUCUGGAGGAAUACCGGUGGCGAAGGCGGCAUCCUGGACCGGCAUUGACGCUGAGGAGCGAAAGCCAGGGGAGCAAACGGG
RNAcentral lists this ribosomal RNA (253 nucleotides) under uncultured bacterium. RNAcentral's name for it is "partial 16S ribosomal RNA". It matches the Rfam family "Bacterial small subunit ribosomal RNA", at positions 524 to 776 of the family's 1533-position model. The record is from RNAcentral.